This is a non-coding RNA of Coffea arabica (coffee), 367 nucleotides long. Lineage: Eukaryota; Viridiplantae; Streptophyta; Magnoliopsida; Gentianales; Rubiaceae. The record is from RefSeq and is a predicted model, not a curated record.
GCCAACAUGUACAGUUCAGAACAAGAGGUCCCAAGGUCGUGCAGAGAAAUUCAAAGAACUGAUUAUCAACCAACAAUUGAGCAAGGUGACAGCAGACGCCAUUCCAGCACCAAUGACAAAAACAAGGGAAGGUGAAAAUUGAAGUGAGCCAGAUUGGCACAAGGGAUUUCUUGGUGAAGAUCAUAUGCACACAAAAAAGAGGUUGCUUUUUGAGGUUAAUGCAGGCUAUGGAUUCUUUUGGACUUCAAGUGACUGAUGCCAAUGUCACAACUUCUAAUGGCUUGGUCUUGAACGUUCUCAAAGCAGAGGCUUUCAGCGAGGAAAUCCAGGCGACAACUCUGAAGAAUUCAUUAAUGGAGUUAUUUCU